This 572-nucleotide ribosomal RNA is filed under the name uncultured Glomeromycotina. RNAcentral describes it as "SSU rRNA". It matches the Rfam family "Eukaryotic small subunit ribosomal RNA", at positions 548 to 1114 of the family's 1831-position model. The record is from RNAcentral. Lineage: Eukaryota; Fungi; Glomeromycota.
UUGGAGGGCAAGUCUGGUGCCCGCAGCCGCGGUAAUUCCAGCUCCAAUAGCGUAUAUUAAAGUUGUUGCAGUUAAAAAGCUCGUAGUUGAAUUUCGGGAUUGACGUGAUGGUCAUGCCUUAAGGGGUAUGAACUGUCACUGUUGAUUUCUCACCUUCUGGAGAAACUUGAUGUCCUUUAUUGGGUGUCUUGCGGAUCCAGGACCUUUGCCUUGAAAAAAUUAGAGUGUUUAAAGCAGGCAUUUUUGCUCGAAUACAUUAGUAUGGAAUAAUAGAGUAGGACGGCAUGGUUCUAUUUUGUUGGUUUCUAGGAUCACCGUAAUGAUUAAUAGGGAUAGUUGGGGGCAUUAGUAUUCAAUUGUCAGAGGUGAAAUUCUUGGAUUUAUUGAGGACUAACUACUGCGAAAGCAUUCGCCAAGGAUGUUUUCAUUAAUCAAGAACGAAAGUUAGGGGAUCGAAGACGAUCAGAUACCGUCGUAGUCUUAACCAUAAACUAUGCCGACUAGGAAUCAGACGAUGUUAAUUUUUUAAUGACUCGUUUGGCACCUUACGGGAAACCAAAGUGUUUGGGUUC